AAAGCAAGGUACCAAGUCGAAGCGCACACGGAAAUCGUUGCUGUCAUCGCCUCCAUCGCAAAAGAUCCAGACAAUAAAGAGGCUGUCCACAAGAGCGGCUCUCGGAGUUGUGGAAGGUGGCAACGGAACACACAACAUAAGGCUCUCCGGUGAGAGUUUGAAAGAAGCUGU
Molecule: small nuclear RNA, 171 nt
Filed under: Lotharella globosa
Lineage: Eukaryota; Cercozoa; Chlorarachniophyceae
Description: partial Dictyostelium signal recognition particle
Source: RNAcentral